GGAAAAGUUGUCAUUGGUAAGACGAGAUAUUUGCUAAAUAUUGUUCCUAGAAUCUGGGUGUUCGAUUCACCUCUUUUCCG
Molecule: transfer RNA, 80 nt
Filed under: Antarctomyces psychrotrophicus
Lineage: Eukaryota; Fungi; Ascomycota; Leotiomycetes; Thelebolales; Thelebolaceae
Also listed under: 1 other name
Description: tRNA-Ser
Source: RNAcentral